GACAGAGGGUGCAAACGUUGCUCGGAAUUACUGGGCGUAAAGGGCGCGUAGGCGGUUCGUUAAGUCCUGUGUGAAAUCCCCCGGCUCAACUGGGGAACUGCACAGGAAACUAGCGGGCUUGAGUUCGGGAGAGGGAAGCGGAAUUCCGGGUGUAGCGGUGAAAUGCGUAGAUAUCGGGAGGAACACCAGUGGCGAAGGCGACUUCCUGGCCUGUUCUUGACGCUGAGGCGCGAAAGCUAGGGGAGCAAACGGG
This 253-nucleotide ribosomal RNA is filed under the name uncultured bacterium. Its description in RNAcentral is "partial 16S ribosomal RNA". It matches the Rfam family "Bacterial small subunit ribosomal RNA", at positions 524 to 776 of the family's 1533-position model. The record is from RNAcentral.